RNAcentral lists this long non-coding RNA (309 nucleotides) under Anas platyrhynchos platyrhynchos (common mallard). Its description in RNAcentral is "lncRNA (ENSAPLG00000028891.1)". Lineage: Eukaryota; Metazoa; Chordata; Aves; Anseriformes; Anatidae. The record is from RNAcentral.
UCUCUAUUCAUUUGGGAGCAUCCUCCUUGAACCUUGACAUAUAAUGGUCAUGGCUACACUUAUAAUAUUGAUACCUAAGCAAGCAUCUUAGGUAAGCAGCUGUUAAGCAUAGAAGCCAUCAGGGAAUGAAAGUAGGGUGUCUCUUCUCAGGUGGGUUGCCAGGGGGUUGGUGUCUGGAGCUAGAGUGAAUAUUUGAGGAACUGUCUGUAAGAAAAGAAGCCUCAAGAAGAGGACAGCAUCAUAGAAUCACAGAAUCACUAAGGUUGGAAAAGACCUCGAGGAUCAUCUGGUCCAACCAUUCCCCUCCCA